This 241-nucleotide ribosomal RNA is filed under the name Clostridioides difficile. Its description in RNAcentral is "partial 23S ribosomal RNA". It matches the Rfam family "Bacterial large subunit ribosomal RNA", at positions 1 to 242 of the family's 2925-position model. The record is from RNAcentral. Lineage: Bacteria; Bacillati; Bacillota; Clostridia; Peptostreptococcales; Peptostreptococcaceae.
GGUCAAGUUAUUAAGGGUGCAGGGCGGAUGCCUUGGCACUAGGAGCCGAUGAAGGACGUGAUAAGCUGCGAUAAGCUUCGGGGAGUUGCACGUAAACUUUGAUCCGAAGAUUUCCGAAUGAGGAAACUCACUUAGAGUAAUGUCUAAGUAUCAUUAAGUGAAUACAUAGCUUAAUGAGGGGAACUCAGGGAACUGAAACAUCUAAGUACCUGAAGGAAGAGAAAGAAAUUCGAUUCCGUAA